RNAcentral lists this ribosomal RNA (312 nucleotides) under Panstrongylus megistus. RNAcentral describes it as "partial 16S ribosomal RNA". The record is from RNAcentral. Lineage: Eukaryota; Metazoa; Arthropoda; Insecta; Hemiptera; Reduviidae.
UCCUUUUGUUUUUUAUUUAAGGUCUGACCUGCCCAAUGAGGAAUUGAAUGGCCGCAGUAUUUUAACUGUGCUAAGGUAGCAUAAUCAUUUGUCUUUUAAUUGAGGGCUGGAAUGAAAGGUUGGACGAAAUAUUAGCUUUCUUUGUCUUAAUUUGAAGAACUUAAUUUUUGAGUUAAAAAGCUUAAAUAUUCUUGUUGGACGAGAAGACCCUAUAGAUCUUUAUAAUUUUAUGUUUUGGUAAUUUAGAUUAUUAUUUACUUAAAGCAGAGUAAUUAUUUUGUUGGGGUGACAGUAGAAUUAAAAUAACUUCUA